Molecule: ribosomal RNA, 195 nt
Filed under: Scutellospora sp. RCa1/SA6/SC2/SC3/SC5/SD2/SF2/SF3
Lineage: Eukaryota; Fungi; Glomeromycota; Glomeromycetes; Diversisporales; Gigasporaceae
Description: partial small subunit ribosomal RNA
Rfam family: Eukaryotic small subunit ribosomal RNA
Source: RNAcentral
GUCUCAAAGAUUAAGCCAUGCAUGUCUAAGUAUAAAUCAUUUAUACAGGUGAAACUGCGAAUGGCUCAUUAAAUCAGUUAUAGUUUAUUUGAUAGUACAAUUACUACUUGGAUAACCGUGGUAAUUCUAGAGCUAAUACAUGCUAAAAGUCUCGACUUCUGGAAGGGACGUAUUUAUUAGAUAAAAACCAAUAAC